GACGCGGGCCGUGACUGGCGCAUCGCAGGUGGGAUCGACCACCGGGGAGCGGCCCCGUCGACUCGACGCCUGCCGCGCGCCUGGGCUCCCGUC
RNAcentral lists this non-coding RNA (93 nucleotides) under Modestobacter caceresii. RNAcentral describes it as "ZMP/ZTP riboswitch aptamer (pfl RNA motif)". It matches the Rfam family "ZMP/ZTP riboswitch aptamer (pfl RNA motif)". From Rfam's summary of the family: Previously known as pfl RNA. The record is from Rfam by way of RNAcentral. RNAcentral also lists the same sequence under 1 other name. Lineage: Bacteria; Bacillati; Actinomycetota; Actinomycetes; Geodermatophilales; Geodermatophilaceae.